UCUCUGUUAGUAUAUCGGAUAGUACACGCGCCUGUCACCUCGUCGGGGACUCAAACCCUGGUUUAGUGCGCGCGAAAGCAGGGUUCGACUCCCUGACAGAGAG
Gelatoporia subvermispora B is the source of this 103-nucleotide non-coding RNA. The record is from the annotation of a GenBank genome assembly. NCBI's taxonomy places the organism in Eukaryota, Fungi, Basidiomycota, Agaricomycetes, Polyporales, Gelatoporiaceae.